AAUCAACGCUGGCGGCGUGCCUCAGACAUGCAAGUCGAACGCGAAAGGUUCCUUCGGGAACCGAGUAGAGUGGCGCACGGGUGAGUAACACGUAGGUAAUUUGCCUUUGGGUGGGGAAUAACAGCCGGAAACGGCUGCUAAUACCGCAUAAUGCAGCGGCUCGACAUCGAGACAGUUGUUAAAGCGGGGGAUCGCAAGACCUCGCGCCUAAAGAGAAGCCUGCGGCAGAUAGCUAGUUGGUAGGGUAAUGGCCUACCAAGGCGACGAUCUGUAACCGGCCUGAGAGGGCGGUCGGUCACACUGACACUGACAUACGGGUCAGACUCCUACGGGAGGCAGCAGUCGGGAAUUUUGGGCAAUGGGCGAAAGCCUGACCCAGCAACGCCGCGUGAAGGAUGAAAUCCCUCGGGAU
RNAcentral lists this ribosomal RNA (412 nucleotides) under uncultured bacterium. RNAcentral describes it as "bacterial SSU rRNA". It matches the Rfam family "Bacterial small subunit ribosomal RNA", at positions 32 to 424 of the family's 1533-position model. The record is from RNAcentral.